AGUGAACGCUGGCGGCGUGCCUAACACAUGCAAGUCGAACGAGAACGGGUUAUAGCUUGCUAUAAUUGUCAGCUAAGUGGCGCACGGGUGAGUAAUGUAUAGGUAAUAUGCCUCUUACUAAGGGAUAACAAAUGGAAACGUUUGCUAAUACCUUAUACUCCUUAUUAACAGAAGUUAAUAAGGGAAAGAUUUAUUGGUAAGAGAUUAGCCUGUAUUGUAUCAGCUAGUUGGUGGGGUAAUGGCUUACCAAGACUAUGACACAUAACUGGUUUGAGAGGAUGAUCAGUCACACUGGAACUGAGACACGGUCCAGACUCCUACGGGAGGCAGCAGUGGGGAAUAUUGCACAAUGGACGAAAGUCUGAUGCAGCAACGCCGCGUGGAGGAUGACACAUUUCGGUGCGUAAACUCCUUUUAUAUGAGAAGAUAAUGACGGUAUUAUAUGAAUAAGCACCGGCUAACUCCGUGCCAGCAGCCGCCGUAA
Molecule: ribosomal RNA, 484 nt
Filed under: uncultured bacterium
Lineage: Bacteria
Description: partial 16S ribosomal RNA
Rfam family: Bacterial small subunit ribosomal RNA
Source: RNAcentral